Molecule: long non-coding RNA, 265 nt
Filed under: Mytilus galloprovincialis (Mediterranean mussel)
Lineage: Eukaryota; Metazoa; Mollusca; Bivalvia; Mytilida; Mytilidae
Source: RNAcentral
UGCUUAUGAAACACAGACCAAAACACAAAACUUAACAUUUACUAAUGAACCAUGAAUGGGGUCAAGGUCAGAUUAUACCUACCAGACACAUCUGCACCAUUCAGUUAUUUCAUCCUCCAAAUAUAGCAAAACUAUUGCUAUCAAUAUAUGAUUUUUUUUUAAUGAAAACACAAAAACUUAACAGUGACCAAUGACCCAUGAGAAUUAGGUCACGGUCAGAUGCUAGACCGGUAUGUACAUCUUUAAUACAAUCAUUCCACACACC